Cercocebus atys (sooty mangabey) is the source of this 1716-nucleotide long non-coding RNA. RefSeq lists it as uncharacterized. The record is from RefSeq and is a predicted model, not a curated record. The transcript has 3 exons. Lineage: Eukaryota; Metazoa; Chordata; Mammalia; Primates; Cercopithecidae.
GCAACUGGGGCGACCCUGGGGGCUGUGGCCCAUCCACACCAGGGCCAUGGUCACAGCGGACAGCCUGGGACCCCAGCCACCAGCCUCCAUUCCCGGGGCUUCUUGGAGAUGAGGCUGAAAGCACAGGCUCCACAGACGCAGAGGCCGCUCCUCAGGCCCUGCGCUGUCCUCCUUUCCUGUGCCAGUGACAGUGCCACCCCCUGACCUGACAACUCUCAGUUAUACAUAAAGGGAAGACCACACCACCCCCUGUGGGGGACACCUCCAGAGGGAAGGCAAGACACUCAGACUUCAAGCUCCGGGGUCAGGACCCCACCUGUUGAGUCCUUGGUGAACGCCUGCCCGAAACUGCAAACCCCAUUCUGAGGGAACUGAGGGACAGGAGUCAGCCUUGGGAAGAGGCGGGAGAAGCACCGCGAGCAGUGGUCCUGCUUCCAGCCACUCCGACAACUGGGAAGUCCAGGCCACACUCCACACCCAGAACCCGGCCCCACAGAGCCACCCAACAGGUGCCAGCCCAGGGACCGAAGGUUGAGAGCGGAUGGCAGCAAGGAUGGAAGUAAUCCCAAGGCCUAGGGCCUGCCGGAGCCCGUGCUCAGCCCCCUGCAGGCUCCCGGGGCCCCCACAGUUGGGAAGAGGGGCGAGAGUGGGUGGCUCUGAGCUGAACUGGCUGAAAUUCUGCCCUGAAACAUGCAGUUCUUUCUCUGCCGCGAGCUUCUCCGUGCUGGGCACUGCGCAGCCCCUUCACGGGUAAAGGGGAGACCUGCGAACCGCUGGCAGCUUUGUCGCCAGGACCCAGUAUUCGCACUCAGAGAUGCCUCAGCAUUUACCGUCAAGACACAGGGGCUGGAACCAGGGCCCAGAGGGGCACCAUUCACCACAGGGUUGCCGGCCUCGCUGGCCCCAGAGUGCUCACAGGUGGCCGGCCCUUAAGCGGACCCUGUGCGUAUGAAAUACAGCCCUGUCCCAAAGACUCGACAUGAGAAAUGAUUGCAGGAGGCAUUGUUGUAUGUUGAUUACCUGUUGAGAUGACCACAUUUGGAGUAUGUUGAGUUCAAAGCUCAUUAUUGAAACGAAUGGCACCUGUCCCGUUUUCCUUUUGUACAUGGCUAUCACAAAAUGGAAACUUUGCUGUGUGGCUCACACACAUUCUGGUUCCUGUACAGUGCUGGUCUGGAACUCGGCUGCAGGGAGGGGGAGGGUGGGACGGAGAGGCGCAUGGUGGGACAGAGAGGCGCAUGGUGGAUGGAGAGGCACAGGGCCUUGGGGACACACUUGGGAGGGCACUAGCCCACAGGGAGCCCAGCGGGGUGAGGGGGGGCAUGUGGCUGUGAGGAGGAGCCCCUACCUCACUCUGCUCAGUGCCUGGGCCUCACCCGGGGCUUCCGGUCUCCCUGAUCAGGGCUUGGCCUUCCUGGCCUCUGAGCAACGCCUUCGGGUCCUACUCCCACUACGUGCCUGGGUUGGGUCCUCUGCAUCAGGCCCUGCUUUGCACCGGACGGAAGGAGGGAGGGAGCAGGGGAGCCCGUCCUCCCAUGUCAGGGUCACCUCAGUCACCCCACCAGCUGCUGCUUCGAGACCAGCAGCGCCACCCCCCUCUCAGCUGCCACCCCCUUCAGACCGCCAGGGAAAAUGAAUAAGCAAUUAGCUAUCCCUCCCAGCCACCCUGCGCCUGAGGCCCACUCCCUCGCCUGCCUUUCCGCACCUCCUUUCUCU